Molecule: long non-coding RNA, 3650 nt
Filed under: Nicotiana tabacum (common tobacco)
Lineage: Eukaryota; Viridiplantae; Streptophyta; Magnoliopsida; Solanales; Solanaceae
Description: long non-coding RNA (NTAB_LNC018457)
Source: RNAcentral
GAAAAGAGAAGAGUUCGACCUCAAUUGAACGAUGACGAGUUGCUAUUUCGAUAAAGUUCAAAAAACACCCUUUAAGGCCAAGGGACUUCGUCAAAAAGAGAAAAGUUCGACCUCGAUCGAACGAUGACGGGCUACUAUUUUGAUAAGUUCGAAAUAACACACUUUUAGGCCAAGGGACUUCGCCAAAAAGAGAAGAGUUUGACUUCGAUCGAACGAUAACAGGUUACUAUUUCGAUAAGUUCAAAAUAACACCCUUUAAGGCCAAGGGCCUUCUCUAACAAGAGGAGAGUUCGAUUUUGAUCGAACGAUGAUGGUUACUAUUUUGAUAAGUUUGAAAUAAAACCCUUUAAGGCCUAGGGCCUUCGCCAAAAAGAGAAGAGUUCGACCUCGAUUGAACGACGACGGGUUACUAUUUCGAUGAAGUUCGAAAUAAUACACUUUAAUGCCUGGGGCCUACGCAAAAAAAAAGAAGAGUUCGACCUCGAUCGAACGAUGAUGGGCUACUAUUUCGAUAAGUUCGAAAUAACACACUUUUAGGCCAAGGGACUUCGCCAAAAAGAGAAGAGUUUGACUUCGAUCGAACGAUGACGGGUUACUAUUUCGAUAAAGUUCAAAAUAAGAUACUUUAAGGCCAAGGGCCUUCUCUAACAAGAGGAGAGUUCGAUUUUUAUCGAACGACAACGGUUACUAUUUCGAUAAGUUUGAAAUAACACCCUUUAAGGCCUUGGGCCUUCUCCAAAAAGAUAAGAGUUCGACCUCGAUCGAACGAUGACGGGUUACUAUUUUGAUAAAGUUUAAAAUAACACUCUUUUAGGCCAAGGGCCUUCGCCAAAAAGAGAAGUGUUCGACCUCGAUUGAACGAUGACGGGUUACUAUUUCGAUAAGUUCGAAAAAACACCCUUUAAGGCCAAGGGCCUUCAUCAAAAAGAGAAGAGUUCGACCUCUAUCGAACGAUGAUAAGUUACUAUUUCGAUAAGUUCGAAAUAACACACUUAAAGGCCAAGGGCCUUCUCCGAAAAAAGAAGAGUUUGACCUCGAUUGAACGACGACGGGUUACUAUUUCGAUAAAGUUUGAAAUAACACCCUUUAAGGCCAAGGGCCUUCUUCGAAAAGAGAAGAGUUCGACCUUGAUUGAACGAUGACGGGUUACUAUUUCGAUGAAGUUCAAAAAAUACCCUUUAAGGCUAAGGGACUUCGCCAAAAAGAGAAAGGUUCGACCUCGAUCGAACGAUGACGGGUUACUAUUUCGAUAAGUUCGAAAUAACACACUUUUAGGCCAAGGGCCUUCGCCAAAAAGAGAAGAGUUUGACCUCGAUCGAACGAUGACGGGUUACUAUUUCGAUAAAGUUCGAAAUAACACACUUUAAGGCUAAGGGCCUUUGCCGAAAAGAGAAGAGUUUGACCUCGAUCGAACGAUGACGGGUUACUAUUCCGAUAAAGUUCGAAAAAACACCCUUUAAGGCCAAGGGACUUCGCCAAAAAGAGAAAAGUUCGACCUCGAUCGAACGAUGACGGGCUACUAUUUCGAUAAGUUCGAAAUAACACACUUUUAGGCCAAGGGACUUUGCCGAAAAGAGAAGAGUUUGACUUCGAUCGAACGAUGACGGGUUACUAUUUCGAUAAGUUCAAAAUAACACCCGUUAAGGCCAAGGGCCUUCUCUAACAAGAGGAGAGUUUGAUUUUGAUCGAACGAUGAUGGGUACUAUUUCGAUAAGUUUGAAAUAACACCCUUUAAGGCCUAGGGCCUUCACUAAAAAGAGAAGAGUUCGACCUCUAUCGAACGAUGACGGGUUACUAUUUUGAUAGGUUCAAAAUAACACUCUUUUAGGCCAAGGGCCUUCGCCAAAAAGAGAAGAGUUUGACUUUGAUCUAACGACGAUGGGUUACUAUUUCGAUAAGUUUGAAAUAAUACACUUUAAUGCCUGGGGCCUACGCAAAAAAGAGAAGAGUUUGACCUCGAUCGAAUGACUAUGGGUUAAUAUUUCGAAAAGUUCGAAAUAACACCCUUUAAGGCCAAGGGCCUUCGCCAAAAAGAGAAGAGUUUGACCUCGAUCGAACGACGACGGGUUACUAUUUCGAUAAGUUCGAAAUAACGGCUUUUAAGGCCUAGGGCCUUCACCAAAAAGAAAGGAGUUCGACCACGAUCGAACGACGACAGGUUACUAUUUCGAUAAGUUCGAAAUAACACCCUUUUAGGCCAAGGUCCUUCGCCAAAAAGGGAAGAGUUCGACCUCAAUCGAAUGACGACGGGCUACUAUUUUGAUAAAGUUUGAAAUAAUACCCUUUAAUGCCUAGGGCCUUCGCAAAAAAGAGAAGAGUUCGACCUAGAUCGAACGAUGACGGGUUACUAUUUCGAUAAGUUCGAAAUAACACCCUUUAAGGCCAAGGGCCUUCUCUAACAAGAGGAGAGUUCGAUUUUGAUCGAACGAUGAUGGUUACUAUUUCGAUAAGUUUGAAAUAACACCCUUUAAGGCCUAGGGCCUUCGCCAAAAAGAGAAGAGUUCGACCUCGAUUGAACGACGAUGGGUUACUAUUUCGAUGAAGUUCGAGAUAAUACACUUUAAUGCGUGGGGACUUCGCCAAAAAGAGAAGAGUUUGACUUCUAUCGAACGAUGACGGGUUACUAUUUUGAUAAGUUCAAAAUAACACUCUUUUAGGCCAAGGGCCUUCUCUAACAAGAGUAGAGUUUGAUUUUGAUCGAACGAUGGUGGUUACUAUUUCGAUAAGUUUGAAAUAACACCCUUUAAGGCCUAGGGCCUUCGCCAAAAAGAGAAGAGUUCGACCUCGAUUGAACGAAUAUGGGUUACUAUUUCGAUAAAGUUCGAAAUAAUACACUUUAAUGACUGGGGCCUACGCCAAAAAGAGAAGAGUUCUACUUCGAUCGAACGAUGACGGGUUACUAUUUUGAUAAGUUCGAAAUAACACACUUUUAGGCCAAGGGCCUUCGCCAAAAAGAGAAGAGUUUGACCUCGAUCGAACGACGACGAGCUACUAUUUCGAUAAAGUUUGAAAUUACACCCUUUACGACCAAGGGCCUUCGCCAAGAAGAGAAGAGUUCGUCCUCAAUCGAAUGACGACGAGUUACUAUUUCGAUAAAGUUCGAAAUAACACCCUUUAAGGCCAAGGGCCUUUGCAAAAAAAGAGGAGAGUUCGACCUAGAUCGAUCCAUGACGGUUUACUAUUUUGAUAAGUUCGAAAUAACACACUUUUAGGCCAAGGGCCUUCGCCAAAAAGAAAGAGUUUGAUCUCGAACGAACGACGACGGGUUACUAUUUCGAUAAAGUUCGAAAUAACACACUUUAAGGCUAAGGGCCUUCACCAAAAAGAGAAGAGUUCGAACUCGAUUGAACGACAACGAGCUACUAUUUCGAUAAAGUUCGAAAUAAUACCCUUUAAUGCCUAGGGCCUUCGCAAAAAAGAGAAGAGUUCGACCUAAAUCGAACGACGACAAGAUACUAUUUUGAUAAGUUCGAAAUAACACACUUUUAGGACAAGGGCCUUCGCCAAAAAGAGAAGAGUUUUACCUCGAUCGAACGAUGACUGGCUACUAUUUCGAUAAGUUCGAAAUAACAGCAUUUAAGGCCUAGGGCCUUCGCCAAAAAGAGAAGAGUUCGAUCUCGAUCGAACGAUGACGGGUUACUAUUUUGAUA